GCUUAACGUUGCGCGUGCAGUGGGUACGGGCUGACUAGAGUGCAGUAGGGGAGUCUGGAAUUCCUGGUGUAGCGGUGAAAUGCGCAGAUAUCAGGAGGAACACCGGUGGCGAAGGCGGGACUCUGGGCUGUAACUGACACUGAGGAGCGAAAGUAUGGGGAGCGAACAGGAUUAGAUACCCUGGUAGUCCAUGCCGUAAACGUUGGGCACUAGGUGUGGGGAACAUUCCACGUUCUCCGCGCCGUAGCUAACGCAUUAAGUGCCCCGCCUGGGGAGUACGGUCGCAAGGCUAAAACUCAAAGGAAUUGACGGGGGCCCGCACAAGCGGCGGAGCAUGCGGAUUAAUUCGAUGCAACGCGAAGAACCUUACCAAGGCUUGACAUACACUGGACCGUUCUGGAAACAGUUCUUCUCUUUGGAGCUGGUGUACAGGUGGUGCAUGGUUGUCGUCAGCUCGUGUCGUGAGAUGUUGGGUUAAGUCCCGCAACGAGCGCAACCCUCGUUCUAUGUUGCCAGCACGUGAUGGUGGGAACUCAUAGGAGACUGCCGGGGUCAACUCGGAGGAAGGUGGGGAUGACGUCAAAUCAUCAUGCCCUUUAUGUCUUGGGCUUCACGCAUGCUACAAUGGCUGGUACAGAG
Molecule: ribosomal RNA, 639 nt
Filed under: uncultured bacterium
Lineage: Bacteria
Description: bacterial SSU rRNA
Rfam family: Bacterial small subunit ribosomal RNA
Source: RNAcentral